Molecule: long non-coding RNA, 361 nt
Organism: Daphnia pulicaria
Lineage: Eukaryota; Metazoa; Arthropoda; Branchiopoda; Diplostraca; Daphniidae
Exons: 3
Source: RefSeq, a predicted model, not a curated record
ACGUCAAUUUUGGGGACACCUAUUUCCAGCAUUGUUUAAAAUCAGUUAACUACUAUUCACCACACAGAUCGUAGGAACAGUUCCCAACCUACAACUAAAUUGCUUUGCACAAAUGCUCUCUCAGAUUCUGGUUCCAGCCAUGUGAUGUUUGAAGACGACACUCUGAUGGGUUAUGCUCCUGUGCCUAUAACUACUGUUCUAACAGAUCCUGGGCCAAGCCAAGUAAUGUUUGAAGAUGACACUCUGAUUGAUUCAGUUCCUGUGCCUGUCACUUCUGCUCUUCCUGGUAUUUCAAAACACUGUACAGUGAUUCAAACUGUUGAUAUAUUUCAUUUCUUAAAAUUAGAUCCUGGGUCAAGCC